AGGACGAACGCUGGCGGCGUGCUUAACACAUGCAAGUCGAGCGGAAAGGCCCUUCGGGGUACUCGAGCGGCGAACGGGUGAGUAACACGUGAGCAACCUGCCCUUAGCUUCGGGAUAGCUCCGGGAAACCGGAAUUAAUACCGAAUAUGACUUUGGCUGACAUCAGCAGAAGUGGAAAGUUUUUCGGCUAGGGAUGGACUCGCGGCCUAUCAGCUAGUUGGUGAGGUAACGGCCCACCAAGGCGACGACGGGUAGCCGGCCUGAGAGGGCGACCGGCCACGACUGGGACUGAGACACGGCCCAGACUCCUACGGGAGGCAGCAGUGGGGAAUAUUGCGCAAUGGGCGAAAGCCUGACGCAGCGACGCCGCGUGGGGGAUGAAUGCCUUCGGUUGUAAACCCCUUUCAGCAGGGACGAAGCGAAAGUGACGGUACCUGCAGAAGAAGCGCCGGCUAACUACGUGCCAGCAGCCGC
Molecule: ribosomal RNA, 474 nt
Filed under: uncultured bacterium
Lineage: Bacteria
Description: SSU rRNA
Rfam family: Bacterial small subunit ribosomal RNA
Source: RNAcentral